ACGUACACUCCUGCGGGAGGCAGCAGUAGGGAAUCUUCCACAAUGGGUGCAAACCUGAUGGAGCAAUGCCGCGUGAGUGAAGAAGGUCUUCGGAUCGUAAAGCUCUGUUGUUAGAGAAGAACACGUGCUAGGUAACUACUAGCGCCUUGACGGUAUCUAACCAGAAAGUCACGGCUAACUACGUGCCAGCAGCCGCGGUAAUACGUAGGUGACAAGCGUUGUCCGGAUUUAUUGGGCGUAAAGGGAGCGCAGGCGGUCUGUUUAGUCUAAUGUGAAAGCCCACGGCUUAACCGUGGAACGGCAUUGGAAACUGACAGACUUGAAUGUAGAAGAGGAAAAUGGAAUUCCAAGUGUAGCGGUGGAAUGCGUAGAUAUUUGGAGGAACACCAGUGGCGAAGGCGAUUUUCUGGUCUAACAUUGACGCUGAGGCUCGAAAGCGUGGGGAGCGAACAGGAUUAGAAACCCCGGUAGUCCCAUGA
RNAcentral lists this ribosomal RNA (479 nucleotides) under uncultured organism. RNAcentral describes it as "partial 16S ribosomal RNA". It matches the Rfam family "Bacterial small subunit ribosomal RNA", at positions 329 to 800 of the family's 1533-position model. The record is from RNAcentral.